UCCCCAUCUCCUUUGCUCCUCCUUUACUCUUCUUCCCACUACUACUCCCUCCUUCCCCCUUACCAUCUACCACUACAUUAUUCCUUGCUUUCUCCCCUGACGAUGCCGAUUUCUUCACAUUCUUACUAGGGGGUCUCCCUCUUGGUCUUUUGUUGUUACUGUUGGUGGGGAGUUUGGGGAGUUUCUUCUGUGUCCUAUCCCAGUCAUCAUCAUCAGAAUCAGAC
Molecule: long non-coding RNA, 224 nt
Filed under: Linum usitatissimum (flax)
Lineage: Eukaryota; Viridiplantae; Streptophyta; Magnoliopsida; Malpighiales; Linaceae
Description: long non-coding RNA (LUSI_LNC000392)
Source: RNAcentral